This 373-nucleotide ribosomal RNA is filed under the name uncultured bacterium. Its description in RNAcentral is "bacterial SSU rRNA". It matches the Rfam family "Bacterial small subunit ribosomal RNA", at positions 524 to 898 of the family's 1533-position model. The record is from RNAcentral.
UACGUAGGGGGCGAGCGUUGUCCGGAAUUACUGGGCGUAAAGGGUGCGUAGGCGGCCUUGUAAGUCAGAUGUUAAAGCCCUCGGCUUAACCGAGGUAAGCAUUUGAAACUGCAGGGCUUGAGUACAGGAGAGGAGAGUGGAAUUCCUAGUGUAGCGGUGAAAUGCGUAGAUAUUAGGAAGAACACCAGUGGCGAAGGCGACUCUCUGGACUGUAACUGACGCUGAGGCACGAAAGCGUGGGGAGCGAACAGGAUUAGAUACCCUGGUAGUCCACGCUGUAAACGAUGAGUGCUAGGUGUUGGGGGAGACAUCCUUCAGUGCCGCAGUUAACACAAUAAGCACUCCGCCUGGGGAGUACGGUCGCAAGACUGAA